UAGGGAAUCUUCGGCAAUGGGGGGAACCCUGACCGAGCAACGCCGCGUGAGUGAAGAAGGUUUUCGGAUCGUAAAGCUCUGUUGUUAAGGAAGAACGAGUGUGAGAAUGGAAAGUUCAUGCUGUGACGGUACUUAACCAGAAAGGGACGGCUAACUACGUGCCAGCAGCCGCGGUAAUACGUAGGUCCCGAGCGUUGUCCGGAUUUAUUGGGCGUAAAGCGAGCGCAGGCGGUUAGAAAAGUCUGAAGUGAAAGGCAGUGGCUCAACCAUUGUAGGCUUUGGAAACUGUUUAACUUGAGUGCAGAAGGGGAGGGUGGAAUUCCAUGUGGAGCGGUGAAAUGCGUAGAUAUAUGGAGGAACACCGGUGGCGAAAGCGGCUCUCUGGUCUGUAACUGACGCUGAGGCUCGAAAGCGUGGGGAGCGAACAGG
RNAcentral lists this ribosomal RNA (429 nucleotides) under Verrucomicrobiota bacterium. RNAcentral describes it as "Verrucomicrobia bacterium partial 16S ribosomal RNA". It matches the Rfam family "Bacterial small subunit ribosomal RNA", at positions 355 to 776 of the family's 1533-position model. The record is from RNAcentral. Lineage: Bacteria; Pseudomonadati; Verrucomicrobiota.